AUCUUUCUGGAUCUAUUCUAGAGUAGCCACGAGGGAACGUACACAAAAGCUCGUUUUCCGCCAUUUUAGCUCCGUGUCGCGAUUACCUAGAUUUCACUGACUUCUGAUUGGUGGAAGCAAAUAGUUUAUUAUGACAAUAGUGGAAACUUCUGAUGAAAACUGGCGACAAGCUUCAGCCCGCCAUCUAGUGGUUUGAGGAGAUAACUACGCUUCACUCCAUUUGUACCGCGUGUAUAAGGAGACGUUUUUGGAAUGGCCGGAAGAGGGGUUAUUUGCGCUAUGUAUGGCUGCUUUAACUAUAAGAUACAAAGUGAUCGCAAGUCGUUUUACAGAUUCCCUAAAAACAAACAAGUAUGCACUCAGUGGGUUGUUAAAAGCAGAAGGUCCGACUUAGACAAUAUAUUAAAAACAAAAGGGCCAGAAUAUUUAAAUAGAAACUGAUGACAAUUGCAGAAUGCUGUAUCCAAAUGGGUGUGGGAAAAAUUAUCUUCAGAAAUGUCAGCAAUAUUUCAAAACAAUUUUAAUAUGUUUUUGUUACAGAGCCCAUAUGGAAUUAAAAAUAAAUAUUUCAAAGUCCUUAUUAAAGCAUAUGUGACAAAAAAUAAUGAUUCAUCUGAAAGUUUUCUGAGAACAAAAAAUGCUAAAUUAAAAAGGAUUGCACAUAUGUAAUAACUGUAUUAUCCAUGACCUGUAUGAUCAAACUGUGCACAUAAUACAUUUUGAUGUUCAAUGUGUUCUAAUUUAAUAAAAUGAAAUUAAAACCUCAGAUUUUAAUUUUAAAAAUCUGACUCAUUGCAUUUGAUUUGUUUUGUUGCUAUUAUUCUUUCCUUUGAAUCACUAUCCAUCAACGUUUCCUACUAAAUAAAAUUAUAAUUCAUGUUUUAAGAUCAUAAAAUAAAGACAAAAAGAUGAUAAAAUAUUUAUUUCGUUGCAUUUUUGCAAGUUUUGUUA
Long non-coding RNA from Centruroides sculpturatus (bark scorpion), 951 nucleotides. RefSeq lists it as uncharacterized. The transcript is spliced from 4 exons. NCBI's taxonomy places the organism in Eukaryota, Metazoa, Arthropoda, Arachnida, Scorpiones, Buthidae. The record is from RefSeq and is a predicted model, not a curated record.